GAUGAGCGCUGGCGGCGUGCUUAACACAUGCAAGUCGAACGAUGAAGCCCAGCUUGCUGGGUGGAUUAGUGGCGAACGGGUGAGUAACACGUGAGUAACCUGCCCUUGACUCUGGGAUAAGCCUGGGAAACUGGGUCUAAUACUGGAUAUGACUUCUCAUCGCAUGGUGGGGGGUGGAAAGAUUUAUUGGUCUUGGAUGGACUCGCGGCCUAUCAGCUUGUUGGUGAGGUAAUGGCUCACCAAGGCGACGACGGGUAGCCGGCCUGAGAGGGUGACCGGCCACACUGGGACUGAGACACGGCCCAGACUCCUACGGGAGGCAGCAGUGGGGAAUAUUGCACAAUGGGCGCAAGCCUGAUGCAGCGACGCCGCGUGAGGGAUGACGGCCUUCGGGUUGUAAACCUCUUUCAGUAGGGAAGAAGCGAGAGUGACGGUACCUGCAGAAGAAGCGCCGGCUAACUACGUG
RNAcentral lists this ribosomal RNA (466 nucleotides) under uncultured bacterium. RNAcentral describes it as "partial 16S ribosomal RNA". It matches the Rfam family "Bacterial small subunit ribosomal RNA", at positions 28 to 507 of the family's 1533-position model. The record is from RNAcentral.